UAUGUGAUCGUCUCUCGCAUAUCAAUAAGCGGAGGAAAAGAAACUAACAAGGAUUCCCCUAGUAACGGCGAGUGAAGCGGGAAGAGCUCAAAUUUGAAAUCUUAAAGGGUUUCCCUUUACGAAUUGUAGUUUAAAGAAGUGUUUUCCGUUGAGGUUUUGGUAAAAGUUCUUUGGAAUAGGACAUCAUAGAGGGUGAGAAUCCCGUAUUUGACCUUUACUUUCAACUUUGUGAUACACUUUCAAAGAGUCGGAUUGUUUGGGAAUGCAGUCCAAAAUGGGUGGUAAAUUUCAUCUAAAGCUAAAUAUUGGCGAGAGACCGAUAGCGAACAAGUACCGUGAGGGAAAGAUGAAAAGAACUUUGAAAAGAGAGUUAAACAGUACGUGAAAUUGUCAAAAGGGAAGCGUUUGACACCAGUGUUGUUUUUCUGAAAAUCAAUUAAAGAACUGUUUAUGCUAAGCUGUUUAGACUUUAUCAGCUAUCUGCUUAGUUUUGAGCUUUUCUUUAAUGCACUUUUCAGUUAACAAGUCAACAUCAAUUUCUUUUGCUGUAAAAAAGCUUGAGGAAGGUGGCUUGAGAUUCGUCUUAAGUGUUUAUAGCCUCUUGCCUAUGCAGUCGGAGAGAUUGAGGUCUGCAGCGUAGAUCCUUCGGGGCUAAAUGCAUUUGUGCUAAGUUAUAGCAUUUUAUAGACAACUUGUUGACUAUGAUUUGUCUUGUAGCUUACUCGCUUAUGUUAUUUUACCUACGCUUAGGAUGUUGAUCUACAGAGCGAGAGU
RNAcentral lists this ribosomal RNA (774 nucleotides) under uncultured Neocallimastigales. RNAcentral's name for it is "partial large subunit ribosomal RNA". It matches the Rfam family "Eukaryotic large subunit ribosomal RNA", at positions 24 to 635 of the family's 3401-position model. The record is from RNAcentral. Lineage: Eukaryota; Fungi; Neocallimastigomycota; Neocallimastigomycetes; Neocallimastigales.